Molecule: ribosomal RNA, 1021 nt
Filed under: Didymella maydis
Lineage: Eukaryota; Fungi; Ascomycota; Dothideomycetes; Pleosporales; Didymellaceae
Also listed under: 2 other names
Description: SSU rRNA
Rfam family: Eukaryotic small subunit ribosomal RNA
Source: RNAcentral
UAUACCGUGAACUGCGAAUGGCUCAUUAAAUCAGUUAUCGUUUAUUUGAUAGUACCUUACUACUUGGAUAACCGUGGUAAUUCUAGAGCUAAUACAUGCUGAAAACCCCAACUUCGGGAGGGGUGUAUUUAUUAGAUAAAAAACCAACGCCCUUCGGGGCUUCUUGGUGAUUCAUGAUAACUUCACGGAUCGCAUGGCCUUGCGCCGGCGACGGUUCAUUCAAAUUUCUGCCCUAUCAACUUUCGAUGGUAAGGUAUUGGCUUACCAUGGUUUCAACGGGUAACGGGGAAUUAGGGUUCGAUUCCGGAGAGGGAGCCUGAGAAACGGCUACCACAUCCAAGGAAGGCAGCAGGCGCGCAAAUUACCCAAUCCCGACACGGGGAGGUAGUGACAAUAAAUACUGAUACAGGGCUCUUUUGGGUCUUGUAAUUGGAAUGAGUACAAUUUAAACCUCUUAACGAGGAACAAUUGGAGGGCAAGUCUGGUGCCAGCAGCCGCGGUAAUUCCAGCUCCAAUAGCGUAUAUUAAAGUUGUUGCAGUUAAAAAGCUCGUAGUUGAAACUUGGGCCUGGCUGGCAGGUCCGCCUCACCGCGUGUACUUGUCCGGCCGGGCCUUUCCUUCUGGAGAACCUCAUGCCCUUCACUGGGUGUGUUGGGGAACCAGGACUUUUACUUUGAAAAAAUUAGAGUGUUCAAAGCAGGCCUUUGCUCGAAUACGUUAGCAUGGAAUAAUAGAAUAGGACGUGCGGUCCUAUUUUGUUGGUUUCUAGGACCGCCGUAAUGAUUAAUAGGGACAGUCGGGGGCAUCAGUAUUCAAUUGUCAGAGGUGAAAUUCUUGGAUUUAUUGAAGACUAACUACUGCGAAAGCAUUUGCCAAGGAUGUUUUCAUUAAUCAGUGAACGAAAGUUAGGGGAUCGAAGACGAUCAGAUACCGUCGUAGUCUUAACCGUAAACUAUGCCGACUAGGGAUCGGGCGAUGUUCUUUUUCUGACUCGCUCGGCACCUUACGAGAAAUCAAAGUU